This is a non-coding RNA of Musa acuminata subsp. malaccensis (wild Malaysian banana), 2820 nucleotides long. Lineage: Eukaryota; Viridiplantae; Streptophyta; Magnoliopsida; Zingiberales; Musaceae. The record is from RefSeq and is a predicted model, not a curated record.
CUCUCUGUUUUAGGGUUCUGUUAUCAGAAGCUUGUGUUUUUUUCCCUGAAAACAGUUAUGAUAUGGCUCUUUGGGUUUGCGAUUGUUUAUUAGAUUCUUGUUAGGGUUUCUUCGAACCGAAAGAGAUUGUUCUUUAUCUGGGCACUGGUUUUCAAGGGCUGUAGGUGACUGAGUGAUAAGGUACGGAGAAAUGAAAUCUUGGUCGUGGAUCCUUUUAGGAUGGUGGAAUUUGGGCGUUCCGAGGUAGUUGUAUCUGUUCUUGAGAUCGAAAAAGGGUGCUUCUGAAGCGCUGGCUAAUUAUUCAAGGGGUUUUUUCCCUAUCAUAUAUUUUACACACAGAAACAGGUAGAGGGCGUUAAAUAUUCAAAGUGGCUUCCGAGAAGAUUGAAAGAUUUUGGCUCUGCAUAAGUCUCUUUAAAUUAGUGCUUUCAGGACUGUUAGUGUUAUGAGGAUAGUGAUGGAUCAUGGCAUCAAUUUUCCUCAUGGAGGAGUUUUUCUGCAGUCUUUUUGCAAUCAACAUGUAGUUUCUUUUCAACCAAAGGAUGUAAAGAGCACAACCAAUGUUUUUCUUGGUGACAUGAACACUUCAGGUGGAAUAAUUGCAACGACAGGGAUAUUAUUGACUGGGAAUGCCAGCACUCCAAACAAUAUUUCUUCCAUGAUUUUGACAGGUAAUCUGCCAAGCAAUAUCCUUCUCGAUCCAUUACCUGGACUUGAGCAUCUCGCAGCGUUUGCUGUUGAUUGGUCCUGUGAGGAAUUGGAAGUGUUGAAACAUGGACUUGUCAUGUUUGCUAGUGAACCUACUAUCAUGAAGUAUAUCAAGAUAGCAGCUAGACUUUCCGAGAAGACUGUGAGAGAUGUUGCGAUAAGGUGCCGAUGGAUGACAAGGAAGGAGAAUGGUAAACAACAUAAAUCUGAAGACUUUUAUGCUGGAAAGAAAAUCAAAGACAGAAAGGAGAAGAUUAUAGGUUGUUCUUCAAUGGUCAAUAUGCACUAUAAUCAACCGGACUGUGAAGCUGCCUGUUCUGUCAUGAUGUGUAAUGGGAACCAUAUGAAUCAGUUCUCAUCUGAAGCAUUCCCAGUGAUUGACAGCAGAACAAUGAAUAUUCUGGAAGACAAUGCAAAACUUCUUCACCAGAUUGCAGUUAACAGUGAAAAUAAUGAGAUACAAAAUAACAUCGAUCUCUUGUAUCGCACAAACAACAACAUAACAGCCAUUUUAAAUAGCAUGCUUGAAACGCCUGGUAUUAUGAGCCAGAUGCCUCCACUGCCUGUGUAUGCCAAUGAGAAUCUUCUGCAUUCCAUAUUGCGCUCUACUAGUCAGAUUUAAUUUUGACCACAUUGCCAUUUGGUUUAUCCAAAAUAAUUUGUGAAGUACUCAAGAUCAGAAAGAGAUCAACUCAGAUCUUGUCAGUAAACAUAACUGCAGAUGAACAUGCAUGGUGCUUCUUAUCAUACAGAAAGAACAACAAACGAUUCUUUUUUAACUUUAGUUUCCAAUUCUCAGAUCUAACAUUGUAAGAAACUAGGAAAGCUGGAAUCUGGUAGGUCGAUUGUUGUCAAAAUUAUAGGCUAUCACUGUUGGGGCCAGGUGAUGGAUCGAGGUAUCACCCUAUGUUCUUUGGGAACCAGCUGAUUUAUACUGUACCACGUACCACAGUUGGGAAACUUUCAGGCAUGAAAUGCAAGUGUGCUACAUGUCAUGCUGCUGAACAAGAAACAAACACAAAAUGUGUCGAGAUAUGGCAUAGCAGGAACUCAUGAUAUAAUUAUGAUUUUUUAUGGUUUAAUGUCAGUGUAUAGUUUGUGGCACCUCAAUUCUGGUCUGUAUACAGGAUGAGAUUGACCAAUACAUCGUGUCCAUGAAGCCAAUCAAGGUUCCUUGACUUAUUUGAUGGUCAUUUUGCAGAUUCUGAUGAUUUUUGGUUGAUGACAAGUAUUAUUAGGUCAUGAUCUAAUUGGGAUUUGGCUGGGCAAAUGUUUGUAAAUGGGAAUGAAAAGGUUGGAAAAAAGUAGUAUCUAUAUAUGCAUCUUUUAAACUUGUUCAAGGUAGCAUUUCAGCCUUUUUAUGCUUGUUUCUCUACUUGUGCCAUUUGAUCCAAAUGCCAUUCUAUUAUCCACCGUCUAGUCCGUGACGAAUCAAAAUUUUUUUUUAGAGGAGAUUUUCUCUACCAUCCAUAGUUCUCUCUUUUGCUUUCUGUUGUUACUUUUAACAAGCCUCAAAAUUAGAAGUUACAUCUGUAAAUAAAAAUGUUUGUUUCCACCUUAACUCUCUAGCAUUGUAUCUGAUACUCCGAAAUGGCUGUUUGUGAUAUGUGUGCAAUCGAGUAAUGAAUAAGCUGCUUCAGUAAUGAGCCAUUUUGAUACACAGGAUUCUGAUCAUGAACUCCUAUUGCUUGGCACAUGGACAUGGCAACAGUUAUCUCCAGGAAGAACCAAGCUGCUGGUGACCUGGUGCCACCAAGUGACCGGGUUACUGUAAGUACACAACCUUCUUAUGAAGGUGAUCAAAACUCUCUUUGAUACACCUGCCUUUCGAUAAGAGCAUAAAGAUCGCAUGCCCACACCAGAGGAGACUGAAGAGCCAGUCAAUAAGAAUCUCAAGGACCUGACACUCGUACAUAUCAAGAUUACGAUAUAGAACUUCUUUGUAAAUGCUUUUGUAACACUAACACUAUUAGGUGCUUGCAGUUCAACAAAUUCUUAGUUCUAGAGAAUAAAUAUUUAUCUUCAUAGUGUAAUAAGCUGAACGGAUAUUCAAGUACGAGUGUUUUAUCACCAAUGAAUACAGUUGGACAUCUAUGGGUGUCAUGCAAGUAA